This 380-nucleotide ribosomal RNA is filed under the name uncultured Thermus sp. RNAcentral's name for it is "bacterial SSU rRNA". It matches the Rfam family "Bacterial small subunit ribosomal RNA", at positions 1005 to 1382 of the family's 1533-position model. The record is from RNAcentral. Lineage: Bacteria; Thermotogati; Deinococcota; Deinococci; Thermales; Thermaceae.
CCGUGGGGUGCCCCGCGAGGGGGAGCCCUAGCACAGGUGCUGCAUGGCCGUCGUCAGCUCGUGCCGUGAGGUGUUGGGUUAAGUCCCGCAACGAGCGCAACCCCCGCCGUUAGUUGCCAGCGGUUCGGCCGGGCACUCUAACGGGACUGCCCGCGAAAGCGGGAGGAAGGAGGGGACGACGUCUGGUCAGCAUGGCCCUUACGGCCUGGGCGACACACGUGCUACAAUGCCCACUACAAAGCGAUGCCACCCGGCAACGGGGAGCUAAUCGCAAAAGGGUGGGCCCAGUUCGGAUUGGGGUCUGCAACCCGACCCCAUGAAGCCGGAAUCGCUAGUAAUCGCGGAUCAGCCAUGCCGCGGUGAAUACGUUCCCGGGCCUU